Molecule: long non-coding RNA, 312 nt
Filed under: Citrus sinensis (sweet orange)
Lineage: Eukaryota; Viridiplantae; Streptophyta; Magnoliopsida; Sapindales; Rutaceae
Description: long non-coding RNA (CSIN_LNC004262)
Source: RNAcentral
GCAUUAUAACUUUUUUACUUCUUUUCAAUUAAACAUCUGAAAAACUUCUUCCUCAAUUCAACGUCUGCAAUUCCUAGCACCCACAAGGAUCCAAUUGUAUGUUUGCAAUGUGUGAGAUUGCAACUUGUCACUAGAUGAGUAUAUUUCACAAGACGCCCAUACAAUACUUGAACAACUCUUGCUAGAAAGUCACUAAGCAAGCCUUGAGCUUCUCGGCUCGGUAAGAUAAAUUGCUUUACGGAAGAACUAGAGAGGAGUGAGCGAUUGGGCUAAAGAAAAUGCAUAUUAUUCACAAGAGUGUGUAUACAAGAG